RNAcentral lists this unclassified non-coding RNA (105 nucleotides) under Mus musculus (house mouse). Its description in RNAcentral is "partial derived from hnRNA or mRNA fragment, or novel small non-messenger RNA without known sequence-or structural motifs". Lineage: Eukaryota; Metazoa; Chordata; Mammalia; Rodentia; Muridae. The record is from RNAcentral.
GAACUCAUCAGCUGCCUAUAUUCUCUGAUAGCUUCAGAACAAACGCUUGAGUCUUGACCUCUUUCAGAAGAGUCUGAGAUGGAAAGGCCCAGUAACAUGGGCUAU